AGUGAACGCUGGCGGUAGGCCUAACACAUGCAAGUCGAACGGCGGCACAGUAAGAGCUUGCUCUUACGGGUGGCGAGUGGCGGACGGGUGAGGAAUACAUCGGAAUCUACUUUUUCGUGGGGGAUAACGUAGGGAAACUUACGCUAACACCGCAUACGACCUACGGGUGAAAGCAGGGGAUCUUCGGACCUUGCGCGAUUGAAUGAGUCGAUGUCGGAUUAGCUAGUUGGCGGGGUAAAGGCCCACCAAGGCGACGAUCCGUAGCUGGUCUGAGAGGAUGAUCAGCCACACUGGAACUGAGACACGGUCCAGACUCCUACGGGAGGCAGCAGUGGGGAAUAUUGGACAAUGGGCGCAAGCCUGAUCCAGCCAUACCGCGUGGGUGAAGAAGGCCUUCGGGUUGUAAAGCCCUUUUGUUGGGAAAGAAAAGCAGCAGGUUAAUACCCCGCUGUUCUGACGGUACCCAAAGAAUAAGCACCGGCUAACUUCGU
This 491-nucleotide ribosomal RNA is filed under the name uncultured bacterium. RNAcentral's name for it is "partial 16S ribosomal RNA". It matches the Rfam family "Bacterial small subunit ribosomal RNA", at positions 29 to 506 of the family's 1533-position model. The record is from RNAcentral.